Molecule: long non-coding RNA, 207 nt
Organism: Gigantopelta aegis
Lineage: Eukaryota; Metazoa; Mollusca; Gastropoda; Neomphalida; Peltospiridae
Exons: 3
Source: RefSeq, a predicted model, not a curated record
CCAGAUGAGGAGAGCUAGAAAAGAAGAAAAGAAAAGAAGAAAAAAAGGAAUGUCUAACAACACCCCAGCACAUCCUAAAGACACUGACAGGUUAUCAAUGAUGUAGCACAACCAGCAUCAUUAUUCAAACGACCUGACCCACAGUCGGGUCGUUAUAGAGAUAUAUAUUUGGGUGCGAAUGUUUUUAUAAACAUCGGGAUCUUCACA